GACGAACGCUGGCGGCGUGCUUAACACAUGCAAGUCGAACGAUGAAGCGGGUGCUUGCACUCGUGGAUUAGUGGCGAACGGGCGAGUAACACGUGAGUAACCUGUCCUUUUCUUUGGGAUAACGGCUGGAAACGGCUGCUAAUACUGGAUAUUCAGGCUGCAUCGCAUGGUGUGGUUUGGAAAGGUUUUUUCUGGGAUUGGGUGGGCUCGCGGCCUAUCAGCUUGUUGGUGGGGUGAUGGCUUACCAAGGCUUUGACGGGUAGCCGGCCUGAGAGGGUGGUCGGUCGCAAGGGGACUGAGAUACGGCCCAGACUCCUACGGGAGGCAGCAGUGGGGAAUAUUGCACAAUGGAGGAAAGUUUGAUGCAGCGACGCCGCGUGGAGGGUGUAGGCCUUCGGGUUGUGAACUCCUUUUUCUCGCGAAAAAGGCACAGUGUUGGCUGUGUUGAUGGAAGUGGGGGAAGAAGCGCCGGCUAACUACGU
Molecule: ribosomal RNA, 482 nt
Filed under: uncultured bacterium
Lineage: Bacteria
Description: partial 16S ribosomal RNA
Rfam family: Bacterial small subunit ribosomal RNA
Source: RNAcentral